GAUGAACGCUGGCAGUGUGCCUUAGACAUGCAAGUCGAACGGAAAACAAUGUAGCAAUACGUUGUUUUUAGUGGCAGACGGGUGAGUAACACGUAGGUGAUCUGCCCCAAAGUAGGGCAUAACGUUGGGAAACCAUCGCUAAUUCUCUAUGUGAUCCCACCUCUUGUGGUGUGAUUAAAGAUUUAUCGCUUUGGGAUGAGCCUGCGGCACAUCAGCUAGUUGGUAGGGUAAUGGCCUACCAAGGCGACGACGUGUAGCCGACCUGAGAGGGUGACCGGCCACAGGGGUACUGAGACACGGACCCCACUCCGUACGGGAGGCAGCAGUUAGGAAUCUUCCCCAAUGGGCGCAAGCCUGAGGGAGCGACACUGCAUGAAGGAUGAA
This 384-nucleotide ribosomal RNA is filed under the name uncultured bacterium. RNAcentral's name for it is "bacterial SSU rRNA". It matches the Rfam family "Bacterial small subunit ribosomal RNA", at positions 28 to 412 of the family's 1533-position model. The record is from RNAcentral.